UACAGGGGGGGCAAGCGUUGUUCGGAAUUACUGGGCGUAAAGGGCUCGUAGGCGGCCGGCUAAGUCCGACGUGAAAUCCCCAGGCUUAACUUGGGAACUGCGUCUGAUACUGGGUGGCUUGAGUUCGGGAGAGGAAUGUGGAAUUCCAGGUGUAGCGGUGAAAUGCGUAGAUAUCUGGAGGAAUACCGGUGGCGAAGGCGGCAUCCUGGACCAUUACUGACGCUGAGGCGCGAAAGCUAGGGGAGCAAACGGG
This 253-nucleotide ribosomal RNA is filed under the name uncultured bacterium. RNAcentral describes it as "partial 16S ribosomal RNA". It matches the Rfam family "Bacterial small subunit ribosomal RNA", at positions 524 to 776 of the family's 1533-position model. The record is from RNAcentral.